CCUACGGGAGACAGCAGUGGGGAAUAUUGCACAAUGGGGGAAACCCUGAUGCAGCGACGCCGCGUGAGCGAUGAAGUAUUUCGGUAUGUAAAGCUCUAUCAGCAGGGAAGAAAAUGACGGUACCUGACUAAGAAGCCCCGGCUAACUACGUGCCAGCAGCCGCGGUAAUACGUAGGGGGCAAGCGUUAUCCGGAUUUACUGGGUGGAAAGGGAGCGUAGACGGUCCUGCAAGCCAGAUGUGAAAGCCCGGGGCUCAACCCCGGGACUGCAUUUGGAACUGUAAGGCUAGAGUGUCGGAGAGGCAGGCGGAAUUCCUAGUGUAGCGGUGAAAUGCGUAGAUAUUAGGAGGAACACCAGUGGCGAAGGCGGCCUGCUGGACGAUGACUGACGUUGAGGCUCGAAAGCGUGGGGAGCAAACAGGAUUAGAUACCCCGGUAGUC
This 440-nucleotide ribosomal RNA is filed under the name uncultured bacterium. Its description in RNAcentral is "partial 16S ribosomal RNA". It matches the Rfam family "Bacterial small subunit ribosomal RNA", at positions 338 to 795 of the family's 1533-position model. The record is from RNAcentral.